Molecule: ribosomal RNA, 463 nt
Filed under: uncultured bacterium
Lineage: Bacteria
Description: partial 16S ribosomal RNA
Rfam family: Bacterial small subunit ribosomal RNA
Source: RNAcentral
GAUGAACGCUGGCGGCAUGCUUAACACAUGCAAGUCUUUCGCGAAGCUGUUCUUGCACAGCCUAGCCAGGGCGGCCGGGUGAGUAACGCGUCAGGAACUUGCUCUGCAGUCCUGGAUGACAGCCGGAAACGACUGAGAAGACCUGGUAAUAUCAGGCGGACUCGUGUCGAGCCGGUUGAAAAGAGAUGCUGCUGGAGAGCCUUGCGUCCUAUUAGCGUGUUGGUGGUGUAACGGUCCACCAAGGAGACGUUGGGUAGCCGGCCUGAGGGGGUGGACGGCCACAAGGGGACUGAGAUACGGCAGUUACGUCUACGGGAGGCAGGAGGGGGGAAUAGUGGACAAGGGGGGCGACUCUGACCCAGAAAUUGUGUGUGGAAUAUGAAGCUUUUCGGAGUGAAAAGUGCUUUCAUCAGAGAAGAAAAAAAUGACGGUACCUGCAGAAGAAGCGACGGCUAAAUACGUG